AAAAACAUAGUGUAUCUAACAAUACCCAACAUGAAAAUAUUAAUUACAAGGGGAUUUAAUCUAGAUCAAACCCAAAACAACAACUUAAAGUCCAAGCACAACAUGAUUCCCAAAGUCCAACAGUCCACAAUUGACUACAACAUGAUAAUUAAUCAGCAUCAGCUAGACUAACUACAUUUGAAUCAAAUGUUUAACACAUAAACAUCAUAAAGGAACAGAAUCAUAGCAAAAUCAAAAUUAUUAACAGAACUCAGCACUUCCUUUCAUUUCACCUUCAAAUUGAGUUUACAUCAUGGGAAAUUCUGAGUUUGUACCUGGAAAAUGAGAAGGAGAAAGGUGGUUAUUGUAAGCAAACGAAAGCAGCAUCUCUCAAUACCCCAGAGAUGAACCAACAGACUGAUUUUGAAACCAAAAUGCAAUGCAACAGUUCAAAUGCCAAUUUCGGACUCAAUAAAUCAACAGACCCCAAGCCAAACUUGAAUUUAGCCAAGCUUUGAACCAUUUCAGAGGAAGAAACAAAAUCGAUUUUAAGAGUGAUAAUUCUUCAAAUUGAGACCCAAAUCCCAAUGGAACAGUAGCAGCCUUUUUCUGUAUUUUUUUUUUCUCCCUU
Molecule: long non-coding RNA, 610 nt
Filed under: Nicotiana tabacum (common tobacco)
Lineage: Eukaryota; Viridiplantae; Streptophyta; Magnoliopsida; Solanales; Solanaceae
Description: long non-coding RNA (NTAB_LNC013252)
Source: RNAcentral